AGUUUUGGAGUGGGUUCAUAGUCGCCGAAAACUAUACCGAAGUCAACGUUUCAGUUUGCUGCACCCGUAAAGGUGAGGAUACACCCCUUUCUCGCUUUGUUUUCAUUUUUUUUAUCUUCAUCUAUUUUUAAUUCUGUUAAAUAUAAGAGGUAUUUUGAUUUCAAGCUACGUUGUUGUUGGUAACCUGGCCCUGCGGGUAGAUAUUGUGGUUUGUGAAUCAAAAAAUUAUUUGAUGUGAAAUACAUGACUUUAUACAUUUGUUUAUCUUGUUUGAUUGUUAUGGUUCUUUGGGAAUCUGGUCUAUGAGCGUGAUUUGAAUAUAAAAGUUUAUGUUGUGUGUACGCGAGUUUGUUAGUAUAUGAAUAAGUCGCUUUCGGAUUUGCUGUUAACUCUUUAAAAAAUGAAUUUGGGUGUGAAUUUGACCAAUCUUUUGUCUUCGUUACUGAUCCCAAAAUAUGCUUAUAUUUGAUUUCAAUUAAAUUACAUCAUCACUGAUUUGUGGGAAAACGCUCGAUUCCUUUUUUUACCUGUUUGGUCGGUGUUGUCUUUCAUUAUCUGUGGUUUAAUUUCUCAAAUUUGGUGUUGUUUUAAAUUUUCAUAAUUUGAGGACAUUCCCUUCUUACUGUUGAAAGUUGAUUUGCAAAAGAAAAAUGUGUCCCAUCUUAAUCGCUCAAACAUUUUCAAAUUGCUUUUGUAAGAGGUUUUUUUAAAGCCAAAAGAUCGUUUGAGAAUGUUGUGGUAGCAGUUGAAAAUGUUGAAAUAGUUUGCAUUGUUUAUCUUUGGUAAAAUUGAGUUGAAGGAAAAUUUUCUUGCCUCAAGCGAAAAUAUGAAUCUAUGUUUAUUACUAUGAUAGAGCCUUUUCAUUAGGAUUUUUUUUAAUCAAAUGGGUAUUGAUUAAAUUGAUUAGAGAAUGUAGACAUGCUCCAUUGUUUAGUCUAUGUGCGUACAUACGUAGAAUAGUAAAUGUUAAAAGAUAAAAGCUAAAUUUGUAUAGAAUUAAUAUUGUAAGUGGAUUGCAUCAUAUGCUUUUUUGUAAGAAAAUUACAUGUGGGUGUUGUAAAUGUGUAUGAUCGUGAAAUAUGUUUCCCCAAAAAGUAACGUGAUCCCCUUUUUUGUCGUGUUCUACUGUAUUAAAAAAAAGGGAAAAGGAUCAAAUGUUUUAAGUAAAUAAAAACAAAAGAUAAGAUUGUUUUUAUGCUUGGAUGUGCAGAGUUCUCAUUUUUUUCUUUUUCGCUGGUGGUUCUUAGUAAUAUUAUUUGCCUUAAUAUGGUCUCAACAAUAUGUUUUACUUGUGGGUUUAGCUACUAAGACCCCCAGCAUCAUGUUUUUUUAAACAAGUGUAUGUGACACCUCUUGCUACUCUUACGUAAUUCUUAACAUAUAUUAUAGCCAUGUUUUCUCCUUAAUCCAUUUACAUAUAUUGUAGCUAUGUUUGCUCCUUAAUCCCUCUUUGCAUUAUCAUGAUAACUAGUCCAUUUUAUAUAUGCCACACAACUUAAAUUAUCCAAGUGUGUAUCAUUUAGUUCACUUUAUUGAUUAUAUUUUUAAUACUUAUCAUUUUUUGUUACAUGUGAACUCGGGAGUUGGAGUUCCGCAAUGGAAAUCACUUUGAUCCAAUGUCGGGUCAAAUGUUAAUAGGAGUGCAGAGCCUCGGAUGUCCGGUGAAUUAGGAGCCUAAACUCCUAAAUGGAGUUUAAUAUUUUUC
RNAcentral lists this long non-coding RNA (1705 nucleotides) under Capsicum annuum. Its description in RNAcentral is "long non-coding RNA (CANN_LNC010274)". The record is from RNAcentral. Lineage: Eukaryota; Viridiplantae; Streptophyta; Magnoliopsida; Solanales; Solanaceae.